This 1526-nucleotide long non-coding RNA is filed under the name Mytilus galloprovincialis (Mediterranean mussel). Lineage: Eukaryota; Metazoa; Mollusca; Bivalvia; Mytilida; Mytilidae. The record is from RNAcentral.
GUUCAGCAAAGUAAGAUCUACAAAUAAGGCCAAUUAAAAUUAAUUGAUAGAUUUUCAUCCCCGCCCGCCCCUCUGAAAUCGUCCCGCCCCGAAUUUUUUUUUUAUUUUAUAAAAUUUACGAUUUCCGGAUUUCGUUCAUUCCCGUUACCGGUAACCGUUAAAAUUUCGUUUCAUCCUCAAAGCUUCCUGUUUCAAAUUUCGGGUUUGUACCUCAAGUAAAUCUAACAAAAAUGAUUAAGUCGACCUUUCCGCUGCUCUAUGAUGACAACAUCAUCUUCCGAGAGUAAAGAUUGAUAACGAGAAUGACGUGAAAACACGCUGUUUCCAAGACUGCAAAUCGCGUUAUGUCACAAGUUUCUGUGAUUAGAAAACUGCAGACUGUUUUAUUUAUGCAAUGACUGUCUUAGGAAAUUUAAACUGUAAAUGAUACCCAAAGCGCAAUAUUCGUGGAAACCAUUGAUACAGAAAACAUGACUGGAUUAUAGAUAUUGAAAUACAAGCACGAACUUGUCAGAUUUAUGACCGUUUAUUGAAAUUAAAAAGUCGACUAACAUAUGCAUUUUAUUUAUGCAAGCCCUUUGAUUUUUCCCAUGGCUGUCUUUUUAUGUUGACAAACAGCAAAAGUCCCAUUACACCCAAAAAGAGUCAUUAAACAACAACUUUUUUUUAUUAUUAAGUUCAUGUUUUACAUGAUAAUUAUAUUUUCAUCUUGCAUAUAAAGUACCAACCCUAUUAUUUUCAACACUCUCUGAGUUUUCAUUUUAUUCUGUACUCAUAAUAAUUGUGUUGCAUACCAAUGCAUUUGCUUCAUUUUAUGGGAAUACAAACCAUUGUUUAGAAACCCAAAUACAUUUGGUGUAGGUAGUCUAACUGAAGAGAGUAUUUCUCACACGUUUUUGUUGUUAAGUUUUUAAAGCCGCAAUUAGAUAUAUUUAUUUAAGUAUUUGAAAAAUUAUGUAAGAUUCCUCAUACUUGUGUAUAUAAAAAAGAAGAUGUGGUAUGAUUGCCAAUGAGACAACUAUCCACAAAAGACCAAAAUGACACAAACAUUAACAACUAUAGGUCACUGUAUGGCCUUAACAAUACAUGAUAUAAGCUUAUUAUUACACUUGCAUAUAUGAAGAACUCGUCACAAAACAUGCAAAAGGGUUUCAUAUGAAAUAAAAUUUAAAAAAUAAAAUCCUCCCACCCGCCCCAUUUUUUCAAAAAUUUGGAUGAAAAUCUACUAAUUAAUUUUAGUUGGCCUAAGGUAAUAUGACUAAAAUGGUCAGUUGACCCCUUAAGGAGUAAUUGACCUUUAUAUUCAUUUUUAACCAAAACUACUGGUCCAAAUUUAACCAUACUUAGCCAUAAUUAUCAUUGAGGUAUCUAGUUUAAAAAAUGUGUGCGGUGACCCUGCCAACCAACCAAGAUGGCCACCAUGGCUAAAAAUAGAACAUAGAGGUAAAAUGUAGAUUUUGGCUUAUAACUCUGAAACCAAAGCAUAAAGAGCAAUUCAGACAUGGGGGUUAAAUUGUUUUGCAAGU